RNA transcript from Branchiostoma belcheri (Belcher's lancelet), 5811 nucleotides. It is a transcript of the gene named ELKS/Rab6-interacting/CAST family member 1-like, with no coding region annotated. The transcript is spliced from 23 exons. The record is from RefSeq and is a predicted model, not a curated record. Lineage: Eukaryota; Metazoa; Chordata; Leptocardii; Amphioxiformes; Branchiostomatidae.
UGGUUUCGCCCAGCUUCAGCGAAAGGCCAUUUUGAGGACCGCAAUCGCAGUCGAACAAUGGUGGUUUGGCGAGUGAAAUUCUCCGGUAUCUUGUCUCCUUCAGCCUAACGGAUUGCCAUGCCCGGCGCGGGGAUACCUCCAGCUUGAUCGGACCAUCAUGUACACGCAGAGCAGGUCAUCUCCCGACGGCCGGAGUCCCGGCAGUUCGGGGCACCAGUCGCGACCAGGUAAUUCCCACACUGCGCCCCGGCCGCAGGCCCAGCACCGCUCCCCCUCCCUCGGUAGAAAGAACUCAGCUUCCAGCAUGUCGAUGGAGAACAUCCAGUCCCUGAACGCUGUCUACAAUACAGGUAUGUCCUCGUACAUUGAUCCUAUCGGCAGUCCGACUCACGUACCACGAUCAGGCCGCUCAUCUCCGUUACGUAGUCCUGCCGCUUCCGGGCACUCCCGGUCAGGUUCCUUCGGGGGCUCCCCUCUCCCCGCCCGCGGGUCCAGCCCCAACCUCCCCGCCAGCUCCAGUGCUGACACGGUCUCGGCGAACAUGGCUUCACAACUACCCCACAGCCACGAGCUGAGGCAAGUCCGGGACAAUGUGAUGGUCGAUCUGCAGUCUCAGACCAAGGAACUGCAGCGGGAGAACUCAGCCUUAAGGAAGGAGAUAGAGAUCAAGGAGGGGAAGCUGCAAUCUUCCAUGAACUCAAUCAAGACGUUCUGGAGCCCCGAGCUGAAGAAGGAGCGAGCCAUCCGGAAGGAAGAGGCCAGCAGACUUGCACUUCUCAAGGAGCAGCUGAGGGUCACAUCUGAGGAGAACCAGCACCACCAACUGACUAUCCAGGCCCUACAAGAUGAACUGCGAACCCAGCGAGACCUCAACCAACUCUUCCAGGAGGGGACAGUCAAACCCGGAACCUCCUCCUCCCAGUCAGACCUGGACUAUGAAACCUUGUGGUCGGAAAACGAGCGGAAAAACAAGGAACUGUUCCUUCUGCGCAAGACGGUGGAGGAGUUGGAGAUUCGCAUCGAGACGCAGAAACAGACGCUGUCCGCACGAGACGAGUCGAUCAAGAAGCUGUUAGAAAUGCUGCAGAGUAAAGGGUUAGCCAUGAAGAGUAUGGAGGAGGAGAGGGGGGAUUACGACCGCGUCAAGAGCAAGAUGAUCGAAGCCGAGGCCAAAGUCACACACCUGGAGUCCAGCCUGGAGCAGCGGGACAGGGACAUCAACAACCUGAAGGAGGAACUCCUGAAGUAUUCGGACAACAGCCACCAACUCCGCUCCCACGGUUCCCACGGUCACCACCACAUGCAGCGCAACGGUCAGCAGAACGACCUCCCCAAGGUCACCGCACUGCAGGCCAUCAUUGAGUCCAAGGAGAAGAAGAUCAGUCAGUUGGAGAAGCAGCUGCGGGAGUUUGAGGAGGACCUGAUGUCGCUGCGGUCUAACGGUGCCGUCAGUUCAGAAGAGCGAGAGGAGGAAGUCAAACAGCUCGAGGUCUACAAGUCCCACUCCAAGUUCAUGAAGAACAAGGAAAAUGGCAGUUAUACCUCGGAUGAUAGUAACGCUUCGCCUCCAUGGGAAAACAUGACCCCUCUGUCUCCCCGGGCAGAGGCCUUCGUGCUGAACAAGAUUGACCAGCUCAAGUCUGAACUGAACAAGAAGGAGACGGAGAUGCUGACCAUGCAGACUAAGGUGGACACCAUGCACAACCAGCUCAAGGACCAGCAGCAACACAUCGACGUCUUAAAGGAGUCCCUGGCAGCCAAGGAGGAACACUCCAAGAUCCUGUCAGCAGACAUUGACUCGAUGCGGAUGCGGCUAGAAGAGAAGGACCAACUCCUGGAGAAGAAGAACAAGCAAAUCUCCUCUUUCAGCUCGGAGAAGAACAAACACAGCUCCGAGCUGACAGAGGUCAAGGACAUGAUGGACAUCAAGGAGAGGAAGAUCACUGUGCUGCAGAGAAAGAAUGAGAAUCUUGAGGAGCAGCUAAAGGAUAAGGACAAGCAGAUCUCCACCAUGAAGGAGAGGGUCAAGUCACUUCAGCAGGACACUAGUAACUCGGACAGUGCUCUUAUCACUUUGGAAGAAGCACUCAGCGAGAAGGAGCGGCAGAUAGAGAGAUUGAAAUCCCAAAGAGAGCGUUCAGAGGGCGAGCGACAGGAAGAACAGGACAACCUGACAAAGGAAAACAAAGAGCUGAAGGACAAGGUGGAGACCCUGCAAAACGAGCUGGCUGAGAACCAGUCCAACCUUCUCGAUCUAAAAGAACAUGCGUCUUCUCUUGCCUCCAAUGGCCUGAAAAAGGACUCGCGUCUCAAGCAGCUGGAAAUCCAGUUGUCACAGAAAACAGAGGAAGUCAACGAGCUUGAGAUGCAAGUCAAACGGCAAGCAAGGCAAGUCCGUGCAGCCAAGGAGUCUGCUGAGCAGGCGGCGGCCAAUAAGGAGGCAGCGGAGAAGUCUGGUAUGCUGGAGGACCAGGUGAAGCAGUUCCGUGACGAGGUGACCAAGUCUCAGCAGGAGGUGGACCGACUGCUGGAGAUCCUGAAGGAGACAGAGAACGAGAAACACGAGAAGGACCUCAGGAUCAGAGAGCUGGAGAGACAAAUGCGUGACUCCAACAAGAAGCUGGCCUCGAUAAAGCACCGUGAACAAACAGAGAAAAAGAAGAAUGCACAGCUUUUGGAGGAGGCCCGCAAGCAUGCUGACGACCAAUCAGAAAGCUCCCAGCAGAUGCAGCUGAAAAUGGGAGUCAUGGAAGAAAAGUCGAUAGUUCGUCAGAAGGAGGACAGAAUAGAGGAGCUGGAGGAGGCCCUGAGGCAGAGUGUGAACAUCACUGCAGAGAGAGAGAUGCUGCUGGCACAGACACAGGCUGGGAAACAGACGGUAGAAAAACAGGUUGACGAAAUGACACAGGAGAUUGACAGAAUGAAGAAGCACCUUCAGGCCACCAAUGCCAAGUUGGCGUCCACAUCACUCAGCCUGCAGGAGAAGGAGGACCGUCUGGCCCAGCUACGUGCCGACAGGAAAAAACAGUUACUGGAAGUUAUGGAGAUGAAACAGGAGGCGCUGCUGGCAGCCAUCAGUGAGAAAGAUGCCAACAUCGCCCUGUUGGAACUCUCCUCCUCCAAGAAGAAGAAGACGAUGGAUGAUGUGGCAGCACUGAAGAGGGAAAGGGAACAGUUUGUACAACAACUUAAACAACAGAAUCAGAACCGCAUUAAACUGAUGCACGACAACUUUGAUGAAGAAAUGAACGGAUCGUCCGUUACUGAUGGACAGGGCCCCUCCCCUGAUCAGCACUUACAGAAAGGCCCCAUAGCUUCUCCAUCAUGCGAACAAGGCCCCAUAACCUCAGCGACAGACCUCUUAUCGCCCUCAGGGACAGAGCUUCUAUCGCCCUCUGAUCUUGCUUCUCCUAAGGAGGAGGAGGAAGGCAUUUGGGCAUAGCAUCAACAACUAGCACAGAUUGACACCCUUUAUAGGUUAAAUGCACAGCUGCUGGGAAUGCUGGAGGACUUGCAGGAGGGCCAGCGGAAGCUGAAGGCGUACAUCGACCAUCUGGUAGCUCUGAGUCUGGAGAAGGACAAGACUCUGCUGGAGGGGCUGCCGCGCACACAACAGGACCAGGUCCGCUCCAUGGAGAAACUCAAGGAGCUGGACUAUAAUGAGUUAUUGGAGGAGUACCGCAGGCAUGAGGAGGACAAUGCCAGUCUGCAGCUGUACGCAGACACUCUGCUGCAGCGCAUCGCAGACCACCAUCCUGACGUGCUGGAGCGGGUCGUCAUGGCGUUGGAGGGGGCCGGGUAACCAUGGCAACACGAUCAUGUGAUCAGUGUCGUCCAAUGGUGAACCUUUAGCAUGGAAGAAGAUGAUCAUUUAGUAGAAGGACACGAGUUUUGAGAUUGAUAGAAGAUUGUGGUAUGCGAGGGAGUACUCCAGCAAGUUUGGAUUGGCAGAAGAGAAUUGUAACAAACAAGCCCAGAUGGUCAGAACCUUUUGAUAACCUCCUGCAAGUUCGAAAGGCAUCACAGCAGAUCCAUUGUACACGUAUAUCGGGUGUCGACUGAUGCUAGGUCCUAACAGUAACAAACUAUCACACAGUAACAAUGCAUACAGAAUUUUCUGAAGUUCUGAAGACUACAGCGUUUACACACAGGACUAUAUUUGUACAGAGUGGAAAACUGAUAGGCAUUGUCCACAUGCCCCAUCAGAGCUUCUCUCAGUUUCAACAAAUGGGCAAAAAAGUCCCCUUUUCCAGACAGUCACAAGACUAAAGAUGAAUAAUCAUUUCAGGUCUUUCUUCCCUCAACCAAUGUGACACAACCUUUUGAACCAGAAAAAGGAAAAGCCAUUAUUGUAUACUUUAUUAUAUAUUGUACAAUGUUCAGAGAAAAUCAUUCUGUGAGUAACAAAAUGCUUGUGAAUGUUGCAUGGAAAGGAAAACAGAACAAAACUUGAAGAACAAACAAGAAGAUUAUGUCUUGUCAGUAUUGUAGUAAGGCUAUGUGUAUGGUUGGCUGAACAGAAGUUUGGUUCUACAAAAUGGAGACGAGUGGUGGUAAGUUGUACUGUAGCACAGGCUGUGGUUGGCCAAACUACAGUCACAUGAUGUGCUGCUAUGAGAAACUCACAUUGGUUUUCCCGGUGGAUCUUACAGGGAAAAUGUCUGCCUCAUUUUUGCUCUUCAGUUUUAGUUGUAAUUACUGUUAACUGUGAUACUCUAAAGGAUGACAGUUUUGGAAGAUUUGAUAACUGAACAGCCAUGUAUCAAACCAGAUCACUAUUCCUCAGAAUGAAAUGGGUUUUUUUUUAGUUAGACAAAACGUAUGCCACUGAAAAAUAUCUGUGCCACCCCAAGAGUAGGCUAGAGUCAGAAGAAUGAGUCUAAGAUGUUGGAUUUUAUUAAGGAUCCUGUAGAAAAAUUGUACAAAGCUGAAUUUUGUGUUAAGUGUUUGUAAUGUAAUAAUGUACCAAGUGUUGCCAGUGCAUUUGUUAGUGCUGAUGUGUCUUGUCAAAUCUGAUUGGUAUUUGAUUGGCCAAUCAUAUAUCCCUAUUCAAUUGUAUGAUUAGAUCAGAAUGUUGCAUCCCAUUGAAACUGAUUGGCUGAUUGGUCAUAGCCAAUCACAUCUUCAUGAAUCACCACUGACACAAAAUGACAUAUUCUCAACUGUGGGGUCUAAAAUUAAUGGGAAGGGGGCUUGUACAGAAGUUCAUGUAGGAUGUUGUUUUAGCAAGGACUUGCGAAGAGCCAGUGACCACUAAGAGUUACUGAGAAUUGUUUUUUUAGCUUUCAUAUGUUCAAGAAUUGACAAAGUCCCAUUUCGACAGUUAUGAUACUUGUACCCUCUGCAUCUUGUUAACAGAGACCAUCAAAGUUGUAACAAAGUGCUAUUGUAGAGAUGUUGAUGUACACAGGUAGGUAAUCAUCAAACGCUGAAGUAUUUUCAUCACCUUACUACUCACAGAUACAGAUUGUUAUUCCUACAACUGCUUCUCAUGUACGGUAAUAUGUAAAUUGUAAUGAACUAGCCACAUUAUAUAUUGUACAGGCCUUGACAGAUUUUAAAGCUUUGACAUCUACCCACCAUUGCAAUGUUAUAACCAGUUGAUAUGAUAUUGCCCUAGGAUGUAGAUACAAAUCAAAUGAUGUUUUAGAAGCCGUUAACAUUGGCUUGUUUAGAUGUAUUUAUAGUAGAUAAAGCAUUGAGCCCUAUUGUAGAUGCUUGAUUUGUUGCUACAGACAGCAGCACAUUGUGAUAUUUGAUGAAUGUAUGCUUUGUUGCGAUGUGGAAAAUACAGCCGUCCUUAUUAAAUUA